AGUUAGCGUAGUUGGUAGUGGGCCGGCUUGUGGAACCCGAGACCCAGGUUCGAUCCUG
RNAcentral lists this transfer RNA (58 nucleotides) under Pyramimonas parkeae. Lineage: Eukaryota; Viridiplantae; Chlorophyta; Pyramimonadophyceae; Pyramimonadales; Pyramimonadaceae. The record is from RNAcentral.